RNAcentral lists this ribosomal RNA (353 nucleotides) under Eleutherodactylus wetmorei. Its description in RNAcentral is "partial 12S ribosomal RNA". It matches the Rfam family "Bacterial small subunit ribosomal RNA", at positions 871 to 1384 of the family's 1533-position model. The record is from RNAcentral. Lineage: Eukaryota; Metazoa; Chordata; Amphibia; Anura; Eleutherodactylidae.
GCCAGGGAACUACGAGCUAAGCUUAAAACCCAAAGGACUUGACGGUGCCCCAUAACCCCCUAGAGGAGCCUGUCCUAUAAUCGAUGAUCCCCGUUUAACCUCACCGCUCUUAGCUUAUUCAGCCUGUAUACUUCCGUCGCCAGCUUACCUCAUGAGCGAAAUUCAGUUAGCCUAAUGUCCUCCCACAAUAUCGUCAAUACGUCAGGUCAAAGUGCAGCAAAUAGAGCGGAAAGAGAUUGGCUACACUUUUUAGUAUAAAAGAUACGAAAGACAAUAAUGAAACUCUGUCAGAAGGUGGAUUUAGAAGUAAAAUGAAUUCAUUACAUUCACUUUAACAAGGCACUGGAGUGCGU